RNAcentral lists this ribosomal RNA (474 nucleotides) under uncultured bacterium. RNAcentral describes it as "bacterial SSU rRNA". It matches the Rfam family "Bacterial small subunit ribosomal RNA", at positions 329 to 793 of the family's 1533-position model. The record is from RNAcentral.
ACUGUCACUCCUACGGGGAGGCAGCAGUGGGGAAUAUUGCACAAUGGGCGCAAGCCUGAUGCAGCCAUGCCGCGUGUGUGAAGAAGGCCUUCGGGUGUAAAGCACUUUCAGUCGUGAGGAAGCGGGUACGUUAAUAGCGUAUUCGUUUGACGUUAGCGACAGAAGAAAGCACCGGCUAACUCCGUGCCAGCAGCCGCGGUAAUACGGAGGGUGCGAGCGUUAAUCGGAAUUACUGGGCGUAAAGCGCAUGCAGGUGGUUUGUUAAGUCAGAUGUGAAAGCCCGGGGCUCAACCUCGGAAUAGCAUUUGAAACUGGCAGACUAGAGUACUGUAGAGGGGGGUAGGAAUUUCAGGUGUAGCGGUGAAAUGCGUAGAGAUCUGAAGGAAUACCGGUGGCGAAGGCGGCCCCCUCGGACAGAUACUGACACUCAGAUGCGAAAGCGUGGGGAGCAAACAGGAUUAGAUACCCUGGUAG